This 952-nucleotide long non-coding RNA is filed under the name Nicotiana tabacum (common tobacco). Its description in RNAcentral is "long non-coding RNA (NTAB_LNC013539)". Lineage: Eukaryota; Viridiplantae; Streptophyta; Magnoliopsida; Solanales; Solanaceae. The record is from RNAcentral.
CCUCCAUGCACCUCGCCAUAACCACUUGCGGUCGACCUAAUAUGACCAUUGAAAUCCCCUCAUAUGAACAGCUUCUCAGCAGGCGGAACCUGGCGCACAAUCUCAUCUAACCCUUCACAGAAGCGCCGUUUAACCUCCUCAUCUAGGCCCACAUGCGGCGCAUAGGCGCUAACGAUGUUAAGGGUGCACUCUCCAACCACCAACUUAAUAAUCAUCAAUCUAUCAUUCACUCGUCUAACCUCAACUACAGACUCUCUAAGUUCCCUAUCCACCAGGAUGCCUACUCCAUUCUUACCUUUCUGGACUCCUGAGUACCAAAGUUUAUACCCGUCCACAUCCCUCGCCUUCGACCCUACCCACCUUGUCUCUUGGACACACGCUAUAUUGACCCUCCUCUUCUGCAGGAUCUUCACCAACUCUAUAGAUUUACCCGUCAAUGUACCUACGUUCCACGACCCAAUUCUCAAUCUACAGCCACUCUUGUUCCCUUUACCUCCAUUGCCUCCCUCCCCACCCUCUAAAUCCUGCCCCACCCCCUGUUCCCCCGAAGACAUGACCUCACUCGACCAUCCCAGACCACAGCCACUAUACGUACGACAGAGUAAGGGGAAUCACUAUCACACAAGGCAACAGACCAAACGAGAAGAAUACAAGUUGCAACAACAUGAAAACUAAUACGGUAAAUAAAGUAGUACGAGGUAAGAUGCCAGCAAUUUAACUCACACAACAAAGGAAAACUGGAAAACGGGAGGUACCAACUCCCGCGAGCAAAAUAGUAAAUUCAAAGCAAGAACAAUAGAACCUGAAGUCACCACGAGUGCCGAGAAAGGUGUUGUCCACAACAGCUAUGUUGGAAGUUCCCGCCCACUUUGCCCAAGGCUCGCCGGAAAAUUGUCUCAGCCGCCACCGUCGCUGCCUUCUUGCUUGAAUUGACCUCCGGACCACUCAAAUC